UUUUAGUAGAAAAAAAAAAAAAGGCUCCAUUUAGGAUGAAAAAUUUGCAGCAAGCAAACUGGUGAGGCAGGGUCAAAAUCCAAAAUAACUCUCCCACUUCUCAACAUCACUGAGCUAAGAGGUUUUUUAUGAGAUUACACAGGCAUAUUUUG
Long non-coding RNA from Oxyura jamaicensis (ruddy duck), 152 nucleotides. RefSeq lists it as uncharacterized. The transcript is spliced from 3 exons. Lineage: Eukaryota; Metazoa; Chordata; Aves; Anseriformes; Anatidae. The record is from RefSeq and is a predicted model, not a curated record.